This 253-nucleotide ribosomal RNA is filed under the name uncultured bacterium. RNAcentral's name for it is "partial 16S ribosomal RNA". It matches the Rfam family "Bacterial small subunit ribosomal RNA", at positions 524 to 776 of the family's 1533-position model. The record is from RNAcentral.
UACGGGGGGGGCAAGCGUUGUUCGGAAUUACUGGGCGUAAAGGGCUCGUAGGUGGCCAACUAAGUCGGACGUGAAAUCCCUCAGCUUAACUGGGGAACUGCGUCCGAUACUGGAUGGCUCGAGUUUGGGAGAGGGAUGCGGAAUUCCAGGUGUAGCGGUGAAAUGCGUAGAUAUCUGGAGGAACACCGGUGGCGAAGGCGGCAUCCUGGACCGGCAUUGACGCUGAGGCGCGAAAGCUAGGGGAGCAAACGGG